UUUUUUUUUUUUUUUUUUUUGGAGAUUUUCUGAAUCAGACUUUCACUACUUUCCGCAAGGGUCAACCCUACCUCCCUCUCUCUAAGCAAAUAACCCAUACUUACUUCCAAAGAAAACUGCUACCAGGGGAAUACUAGCUCUCACUGCUUUAUAAUCCCACCUAUUCCUUAUCCUGGGCUUCCUUACCUUUCCCUCAAGGAGAAGGGGAUUGGCUGUGAAAUGGAGCAGAAACCUGUGGGGACCUCCCAGGUACAAAAGCUCCUCCAUGUCCCUCAUUUAUUGUUUGGGGACUUUAGUCUUCCAAGUCUUCCCUGAGUUCCAAAGAGCAGACUUAAGCAGUUACUACUUAGGGAGGUGAAGGAAUGCAGAAACAAAGGGAAAACAGUCAAGUAAGAAAAGUAAGGGUAGCUUAAACAAUUGUGCAGCAGUAAAACAGAGCCCUAGUUCCUCCUCAAGGGAUGUACAAAACAAUCUGAGCAUAUCUUUGUGUCGUUUUGCAUAAACUAAGGCUCUCUCCCAGGUAGAGAAUGAUGACUAAAUGCUGACCACAAGCAUGUAGCCCCAGACUGGUUAGAACCAGAAGGCUGAUAAUUAAGAUUCCAUAAAUAUCAGUCUGUUAUCUUACCACUGACCAAUCGGAAGAAAGUCCAUGAGCUACCAUCCUAAUCCUAACAGUGCCUUUAAAAACCCUUCCCUGAAAGCCACCAGAGAAUUCAGGUCUUUUAAGUGUGAGCUACCCAUUCUCCCUGCUUGGCACCCUGCAAAUAAACUCUAUACUUUCCUUCACCACAACAUGGGGCCAGAAGAUUGGCUUCGCUGUGCUGCGGGCAAGCAGACCCAAGUUCGGUUGGAUAACAAGCUAUACGUGACCUCAUAGUGUCAUCCCUCGACAGAUAACUUUUCUUGCCUGGAGUUCCAGCUCUGUUGUGUUUCCCAGGCUAUUAAGUCAUCAGUAUCUCCCAAGGAAUUAAUAGGGUCUUCAGAGUUUCAGGUUGGCUCCCGAUGCUUAGCUGUUCCUAGACUAGGCCACAGGGAUUUUUCUAACUUACUAAAUAUAUCUGCUGUUUCUAUCUUCUAUAUAUAAUUAGAGUCACUGGUUCAGACCAACAAAAACAUUGAGGAAUAUAAUUCAAAGAAAAGCUCUAACAAACCUUUGGAGAGCAACGUUUCUGGUCCCUGAGGCUGUUAUUUCUCUAACAGAGUGAGGGGCAUUCCCUUUAUAGCUUCCUCAUAGCUCUAGAAAUUUAAAAGUUGCUUUGUCCCAGACUGAAUAGCUAGAUCAUUGACACCAGAUACCAGGGUUAUGAAGGCAGAGCCAAAAGAUGUUUUCCUAGAAGAAAUGUUUAAAUACCACCCCUACCUCCAAACAACAUAAAAGGAAACAAGGUAGUUCAUAGUGAACAAUGCGUUUAAUUUUCAUGUUAAAAUUAAAAGAAGGGGAAGGAGUUUAUCUGGUUGAAAUGGAAAUACCCUCCAACUUGAGUGAUUUAUGCCUUUAGGACUUGCAAAGGAUCUUGGAAGAGGCGGAAAGCAAUGAAUCUAUGUGUCAACUAUGCAGCGGAGAGCCCCAAGUGAGUUUCAUGUAUAAUACAUAAUGUUGAAGGGGAACAGAAUUUGUCACCCCCAAAUAUGCCACUUUGACAGGAGGAUUACUUUGAGCUAAAGGUAAUUAACCCCAGCAGACUUGGGGGAAGCUCUACACCUCCCCUCAAAUGCCUAAAUUUACAUUGGAAAGGAGGCCCAGGAAGAGAGCUAUUAUCAGAGAUAUCUUUUUACCCAAGAAGCAUCUAUAAACAGGGCAACCUUUGUUUUCCAAACAUCUCCUUUGCCUUCCUGCCAAUCUCCCACCCUUUGCAGCCCCAAGCCCUUACCCCUUUUCCUAACUCAGGAUCUUAUACAAACCUCGCUUACUUGGUUGCUCUUUGGGUCUCAUAUUUUUAUGGGGAUCUUACACAUAUGGAAUUUGUUUCUCUCUGGUUAAUCUGUCUCACAUCAGUUUAAUUAUCAGACCAGCCAAUGUCAUGAAUAACAAGCCUUCGUUUUGAGGUAUGAGCCCUUUUUCUCCCUUGUCAAACCUUCUGAUUACGUCUCUCACACUACAUUAUCCACAAAGCUGCUAUGGGAUGGAUGUUCACAUCAAGGGUGGCUGCAAAAGCCAAGAUACACAAAACUGAGAUUUGACUGAAUAAGAUCUGUAAGACAAAAUGUUUCCCAGGUGAACAUCAAAAUAAGAAGGAACUAAUUUAAUUGUCCAUCUCUGAUAUUCAUGGCUAUUUAUUCCAAGCGGGGUCACUCAAAAGUUUUAAACCUAUCCCAUGACUGCAAACUGAAAUAAGUGAACUCUGGCUAAUACUGUAUCAAAGCGUAUGCUAAAAAUUCUUUGAAAUCCACAACUACUGUCCCUUCUCACCCCCAUAUAAUAGGCAUGGAGUAGGAUAGUUACACAGGUAACUGUAGGAGUCCCAGUAGGGGCCACAGAUAGAGAAGGAACCCUAGUGAACUUUGGGAGACCACUGUAAGUUAAUAAUUGCCCAAGAAAGCCAUCAUUACAUCUUGGAAUGAAGCAGGCUGGCUUAACUAAUAAACCCAUAAAUAACAGCCUGAGAUAUGCCUCAGGUCAUUCAAUGAAAGAUAAAACGGGGCCUGCAUUCAAGUUCAGCAAGAUAAUGAUCCUUAAGACCAAGGAUAGAAUUGAAGAGAAAGAUGGCAUUCCAAAGUGAUAGGGAUGGAGUAGAAUAGUUAUACAGGUUUUUAUAGAAGUCCCAGUAGGAACCAUAGGUAGAGAGGGAAGCCUAGAGAACUUUGGGAGACCCCUGGAAGUUCAUAAUCGUUCAAGAAAGCCAUCAGAAUGAAGCAGGCUUGCUUACCUAUAAAACCAUAGAUAAAGGCAGGAGACAUGCCUCAGGUCAUUUAAGUGAAGGAGAAAAUGAGGCCUGCAUUCAAGUUCAGCAAGAUAAUGAUCCUUAGGACCAAGGACAGGAGUUUAAGGGAAAGAGGACCUUCCAAAAGAGGAAACCUCUCAUUAUAUGGAAACCUGAGAUGAUUCAACAUAUUUUCACAUACAUUACCACCCUUCUGCUGAUUUGCAUAAGCAUCAUGACUGUCCUAGUUUGCCCUCACAGGGUCAAAUACUCUCUUACUGGAUAUGAAGGAGGAGCUAAGGAGGUAAGCCUACCGCCUACUUGAAGAACAAGGAAGAAGGCAGUCCCCUUCCCACUUUCCUUGGAUUGUAAAAAUGUAGCCCAGCUAAUCCUCGGGGCAGAGUUUCUUCGCCUGCCUGCUUGUAUAUCUCACGAGCGUCCUAUCUUAAUAAAUCUAUUUCUUGCUUAUCACUUUGUCUCUCACUGAAUUCCUUCUUGUGCUGAGAUACAAGGAACCCGAACCUCAGUAAGCCCAGACACCAGGUGAGUGAUUCUAAUUAAAAAACCUUGGGUUUGGGAGUUCCCAUUGUGGCGCAGCAGAAACGAAUCUGACUAGGAACCAUGAGGGUGUGGGUUCGAUCCCUGGCCUUGCUCAGUGGGUUAAGGAUCUGGUAUUGCCAUGGGCUGUGGUGUAGGUCACAGAUGUGGCUCAGAUCUGGUGUUGCUGUGGCUGUGGCAUAGGCCAGCAGCUGUUGCUCCAAUUAGACCCCUCGCCUGGGAAUCUCCAUAUACCAUGAGUGCAGCCCUAAAAAGCAAAAAACAAAAAACAAAAAAUAAAAACCUUGGGUUCAAAUCCCAAUCGGGGAUCUGGCUAGGUUCAAGUCAGUGUCAGUUUCUCAUACACUAGAGUCAACAUAUGCCUAAUUUUCUUCUGAAAGUAGUUGUCAGUUCCAAGCAAAUAUAUUCAUAUCUGUGAUAGAAAUUAUCCUUGUAACCUUUCUUUUCCCCUUUUAUGCUCCAAUAUCAUCCCUCAAGGGUAAUUCUUACCUGUUUAAAAUGGCAUAAAAUACCACUACUCUUAAUUCACAGCAUAAUUCAGGAUAGAAAAAUGAAUCUUUGAGCAUAUUUAUUUGUGAUAUUAAAAAAUUAAAAGUGUGGGGAGCUCCUGUUGUGGCGCAGCAGAAACGAAUCCAACUAGGAACCUAAGAUUAUUUUAAAGUGAAAACAUUUGAGCUAUAGAAGAUAUAGAAAGAAAUCUUAUCUAAACUUCCUUUAUCUAAAGCAGAGCUUCCCCACAAUAUAGCUGCAAUUAACCUCCCUCUGAGGAAGUUUCCUACAAACUCAACUGCCAUGGAGACAGAUGCCCCUUGCCAUUAACAUCAAAAAGCCCAACAGAACCUUCCAAAUUUUCCCACUGAAGACCUAACAUGCCCCUACCCCCACUCCCAUGUCCUUUGUUAAACUGGUAUACAAACAUGUAUCUCUGGUUAUUUAGAAGAAUACACAGUACUGAGCAGCUCUCCAGUGCAUAUGUAAAUAAACUUUGUCUUUUCUCCUGUUAAUUUAUUGUCAGUUAAUUUGCAUGACGCCAACCACAGCACUCAAGUUAGAAGAAGAAAAUUUUUCCUCCCAACAAGAGCAAAGUGAAGUUUGAAAACAGGCCCUAUUUGAUAUUUCAGUGUACGUCAUUCAUUAAGUUUCUGAAUUCAAAACUGUUAUGUUAAUAAGUGAAUGUGAAAACCAAGCAGGACCUGCAGGGCCUAUCUGGUGACAAAUCUCUCUGUGUCCCCCAUUUCUUGUUUGUAGAAAAAAGCUUUAGUCUUUUAGGCCUUCCCUGAGUUCCAAGGAACAGAAUUAUGCAGUUUCUAAUUAGGGAAGUGAGGGAGUGUGGAAACAAAGGAAAAGCAGUCAAGCAAGAAAAGUGAUGAUAGCUUAAGCAUUAGUCAAAUGAUCAUAAAACAGAGUCCUAUUUCCUCUUCAAGGCAUAUAUGUGUGUGUGUGUGUGUGUGUGUGUGUAUAAAACAGUCUGAUGCAAAUAUUUGAUUGUUUUGCAGAAACUAAAGACCCCUACCCAGGUGGAGGACAGUAAUCAUGUUUUGAACACAAGUACAAAGACCCCAGACUAGUUGGAACCAGAAGCUUGAUGACUAAGAUUUCCAAAACCACUAUGUUACCUCACCACUGACCAAUCAAAAUAAAGUCAAUGAGCUGAUCACACACCCUACAACCCUCACCCCCAAUGUUGCCUUUAAAACCCUUCCCUAAAAGCCAUCAGGGAGUUCAGGUUUUUGAGCAUUAGCUGCCUUGCCUGUUCUCCUUGCUUGGGUCCCUGCAAUAACCACUGUACUUUACUUCACCAGAAGCCCAUGUCAGCAGAUUGGCUUUUCUAUGCACCAGCAAGCAGAAUUCAAGUUUGGUUUGAUAACAAUAGUAUUAUUAUUAGUUUAUUAGAUAUAUGGCUGUAGUGAGUCAGGCCUCCUGAAAUUCUAUUAGUGGACAGGAAAUUCACACAAUUUCCUGGAAAGCAAUUUUUCCAAUGUAUCAAGAGCCUUAACGAUAUUUAUAUCUUGGAGUUCCCACUGUGGCUCGUGGUUAAUGAACCCAAUUAGUAUCUAUGAGGAUGUGGGUUCAAUCCCUGGGCUUGCUUAGUCGGUUAAGGAUCCGGUAUUGCCUUGAGCUGUGGUGUAGGUUGCAGUUGCAGCUCAGAUCUGGCACUGUUGUGGCUGUGGUGUAGGCCUGCAGCUACAGCUCCGAUUCCACCCCUAGCCUGGGAAACUUUUUUUAGGUGCAGCCCUAAAAAAACACAAAAGACAAAAAACAAACAAACAAAAAAAAACAACAAUGUUCAUGACUAUAGCAUGAAAAUUUGAUUUCUAGACAUCUAAGGAGAUAAUAAGAGAUGCUCUCAAAUAUUUAUUUAAGGAGCUACCCAACACAAUAUAUAUUUACUUUUACAAGGACAAAAACUACAAAAACUUGAAUAUCCAAUAAUAAAGAAUAGCUAACUAAAAUAUUAAUGGGUAAAAUAAAGUCAAAAAAUGGGUACACUCUAUAUCACCUUUGUUAUAUAUACUUGGGAAGGCAUUUAGAAAGAAAUAUAUAAAAAUUCCAAUAGUUGUUUUCUCUGAAUUGGAGAAUUAUGGAUGGUUUGUUUCUUCUUAGUAGAAGAUAAAAAAAUAAAGGACCAAGCUCUGGUAAAAGAACCAACCAAAAUGUACAAUAAUUAUUUAUGGACCCAGUUAGCAAAUAUUGUUUGGAGAGUUGAAUCAAGGAACAGGGAGGAAUUUAAAGCUUUUUCAAAAAUAAAUAUAAAAGGAUACAGUCUGCUAACUAAAGGGGCUGUUUUUGUUGAAGGGGGUUCAGAAUGGGCCUUCCCAAAAUGUAUCACUUUGGCAUGUGGGUUAUUUUGAGGUAAAGACAGUUGAGACCUUGCAGGCUCAAGAGAAACUUCUGCCUCUUCCUACACUUCCUAGAAGAAUUUAAAUUGGCAGUCUUUCCCAGAAUGAGAAUUAUGACCAGGGAUAAAUUUUAUCUGAAUGACCCAUCUGUAUGGCAGGGCAAACAUCUAAUUACCAGACAUCUGCUCUUUGUAUUGUCCUGUGAAUUGCCUUCCUCCCCUUGGAAGCCCCAGGCCCCUUUUCCAUUUCUUAGUGCAGGAUGGCAAUACAUAUACUUCAUUUUAUGCUUCUGUCUUUGAACCUCUCAUAUGGGUUCCCCAUAUGUAUGAAAUUAAAUUAGUUUUUCUCCUGUUAAUCUAUGUCAUGUCAAUUUGAUUACUGGAUGAGCUGAAAGGAUCUUUGAAGAGUAGAAGAAAAUUCUUUCUCCCCAAUAUACAAAUAGACCUGUUGACAUUCAUAUUUGUCAAACAAUUUUGAGUUCCUUAUUGUAUACCAACUUCUAGGCCGGUCCUUUUCUUUUCCUUCUUUUGUAAAGGCAUAAUUUUCAUUCUUGAAAUGAGCCACAGGUUAUGAAAAGACUUAAACAUUGAAAUGCUAAACCACACAUGGAAGUGUUACAGAAAUUUCUGCUGCAAACCACAAAGAUAACAUUUUAGGAAGGAAAGGAAAGGCAAUUAAAAAUUCAACUCUCAAACCAUCACACAAUCUUUCCAAUGUAGAAAGUGCUGGAAAUAAAAAUCCCAAACUCAGUAUAUUGAUAAGGAAACUUAAAUAUUGUUUCUAAUUUUAACAUACAACUUUAAAAAAUUCCAUGAGGAACUGCCUACCACUAUAAAUUUUUAUCACCAUAAUUAAUAACAAUAGCAGAGCCAGGAACUAAUGAUGAGGCUGUAAACUUAAUUAACAGCAACAGUAACAAAGCAAGUGGCAGUUUAAUAGCCUGAAGAGUCACUUGAAAGCAUUAUGCUGCUGUUCAGAUUCUGUUCUGUUUGCGGAGCAAAACAGCUCUCUGUCCAAAUGAAGUCACUUCAGUUAGCCAAGAACCAUAAUCAGAGUUGCAUUUAGACAUGAGGCUUGCAUUUAAAAAUCCCCCAGGAAUGAAUUUCAGUAAAUCUUUCCACUGGUUAACUCACAGUUGAUUUGCCUGCUCACUGGUUUGCCGUAAAGGAGGGUAGGAGGCGAUGAGGGAGGUUAGCAUCCGGGCUGGAACUGCUACAUGAAGUGUAGAGGUAGAAAAUCACACUAAUAUAAAGGAUUCCCUCAAUCCAAAAACUCAAGACUACUGCGGAAAUGCCUGCCAGUUUUUCAGGGACACUUUGGGGAGGGGGGCUGUAGACCCUGUGAAGCUACAUAUUCUAGGAGUCUUGAAAGUAAGCAAGCAGCAUAUGCCUACAAAAAGACUUAACAUAAGAAUGCUCACAGCAGCUUUAUUCAUAAUUACCCCAAACUGCAAAGAGGCCAGGUAUCCAUCAACAGGUGAAUGGAUAAACACAUUGUGAACAAAGGACUCAGUACUUUAAAAGGACACCGACCGCUGAUACAUGCAAACAAAAAUGAAUGUCAAAAAUAUGCAGAGUGAAGCCUUAUGCAAAACAGUGUAUAUUAUAUGUAUUUAUCCCAAAUAGUAUAUACUCUGUAAUUCUAGAACUGUAUGAAGUUCUAGAAGAGGCUAAACUAAUUAAGGCAUGUUGAGAAAAAUUGUAACAUUGCUUAUCUCUGUGUGAUUGGCUUUAUACAGGUAUAUGCAUUUGUCAAAACUGACUGAACGUAAAAGUUAAAAUUUGUAUAUAUCACUGCAUGUACAUUUUUACCUAAAUAAAAACUAUAAAUGAAUGUUAAACUCUGGCUGAUGAGAUACAUACUGCACUGUUUAGGGCUGAGGUAUAAUGAUUUCUGAAGCUUGGUUUAAAAUGUAUCAAAAAUGG
Molecule: long non-coding RNA, 8184 nt
Filed under: Sus scrofa (pig)
Lineage: Eukaryota; Metazoa; Chordata; Mammalia; Artiodactyla; Suidae
Description: lncRNA (ENSSSCG00040039769.1)
Source: RNAcentral